This 432-nucleotide ribosomal RNA is filed under the name uncultured bacterium. RNAcentral's name for it is "partial 16S ribosomal RNA". It matches the Rfam family "Bacterial small subunit ribosomal RNA", at positions 28 to 507 of the family's 1533-position model. The record is from RNAcentral.
GAUGAACGCUGGCGGUAUGCUUAAUACAUGCAAGUCGAACGAACACACCGGUGGUUUUGGCCUUCGGGUGUGGAACGGGAGGGAAGCUUACCUCAUGGCUGAGACAACUGUUAGAAAUGAAUACUAAUACGGGACGUGAGCUAAGAUGAAAGAAUUAUUGCCUGAAAAAGAUUCCACGUUAGAUUAGCUAGUAGGUGGUGUAAGCGGCUACCUAGGCUCCGAUUUGUAGCUGGUCUGAGAGGACGAUCAGCCACACUGGAACUGAGACACGGUCCAGACUCCUACGGGAGGCAGCAGUGGGGAAUUUUCCGCAAUGGGCGAAAGCCUGACGGAGCAAUACCGCGUGAGGGACGAAGGCUUUUGGGUCGUAAACCUCUUUUCUCAAGGAAGAUGAUGACGGUACUUGAGGAAUAAGCAUCGGCUAACUCUGUG